GGGGAUAUAGCUCAGUGGUAGAGCGCUUGCCUAGCAAGCGCAAGGCUCUGGGUUCGGUCCCCAGCUCCA
RNAcentral lists this transfer RNA (69 nucleotides) under Rattus norvegicus (Norway rat). It matches the Rfam family "tRNA". Rfam says of the family: Transfer RNA (tRNA) molecules are approximately 80 nucleotides in length. The record is from Rfam by way of RNAcentral. Lineage: Eukaryota; Metazoa; Chordata; Mammalia; Rodentia; Muridae.